This 800-nucleotide long non-coding RNA is filed under the name Helianthus annuus (common sunflower). RNAcentral describes it as "hypothetical non coding rna". The record is from RNAcentral. Lineage: Eukaryota; Viridiplantae; Streptophyta; Magnoliopsida; Asterales; Asteraceae.
UACAAUUCACAACUGUCAUACAUGUCUUCCGUUCAAAUUAUAUUGGAUAUUUUUUUUUUCCAACGACUCAACCGAAGAUUAAGGGAUUGGGAUUAUCUCUUAUUGGCGACCCUAUACACUCCUGAUCCCGAAUUCUAAACUACCUUAUUUCUCCACGAUAACCACUCUUCAACCGCUGCACCACCGUCACACUCCGCCUUGACCGCCUCGCCGCACCAUUCACAUUCCGUUCAGCCCCAUUGACCUUUGUUCGCCGGAGUUUCGGUCGCCCUGCAUUCUUCGCCACAAACCAGUCACCACAACCGUUCUUGGCUAGUCGUAACCGGACGAUCGGGACUUUGAACCAGCAUCGCCUCUUGAUCUAUUCUACUCAUUCCGAUUUGUGGUGGUGUUUGAUUAUUGUGGGCGACUUGAUUAUUGGUUUUGCUUGUGUGCUAAUAAGUACCGAUCUGUUUUGCUUCCGUAUGCCUGCCUUACCUUUACUGUAAUUUGGGAAACGUGGGGAAUAAGUGAAGAGUGUUGUGAAGAUAAAGAUUUAUUUUUAUUUCGGUAAUGUAAUGAAAAUGUAAUUAGGAUCUUUUGUUUGCAACGUUAUGGAUUGGUUUAAUUUUGAUAUCUGUAUGAGUGACACGUCAGCCUGUUUCAGGUUGGGGUGUUACACAAUUAACACGUGUUAUAGUUUGAACUUCAGGACAUGCAUGUGUUACAUGUGACAUGAAACCCAUGUACAACGUAACACGUAUUAGUGCUAUGUAUUUUGUUUACUAGUAAUAUGUAAUGUGAGACUCUUCUUGUUUUCU